Molecule: small nuclear RNA, 94 nt
Filed under: Otolemur garnettii (small-eared galago)
Lineage: Eukaryota; Metazoa; Chordata; Mammalia; Primates; Galagidae
Source: RNAcentral
GUGCUUGCUUUGGCAACAUAUAUGAUAAAAUUGGUACAAUACAAAGAAGAUUAGCCAGGGUGACACACAAACUUAUGAAGUGUUCCAUAUGUUC